This 305-nucleotide ribosomal RNA is filed under the name uncultured bacterium. RNAcentral describes it as "bacterial SSU rRNA". It matches the Rfam family "Bacterial small subunit ribosomal RNA", at positions 338 to 657 of the family's 1533-position model. The record is from RNAcentral.
CCUACGGGGGGCAGCAGUGGGGAAUAUUGGGCAAUGGGCGCAAGCCUGACCCAGCAACGCCGCGUGAAGGAAGAAGGCUUUCGGGUUGUAAACUUCUUUUCUAAGGGACGAAGAAAGUGACGGUACCUUAGGAAUAAGCUCCGGCUAACUACGUGCCAGCAGCCGCGGUAAUACGUAGGGAGCGAGCGUUAUCCGGAUUUACUGGGUGUAAAGGGCGUGUAGGCGGGAUGGCAAGUCAGGCGUGAAAACUAUGGGCUCAACCCAUAGCCUGCGUUUGAAACUGUCGUUCUUGAGUGAUGGAGAGG